RNAcentral lists this ribosomal RNA (301 nucleotides) under uncultured bacterium. RNAcentral describes it as "partial 16S ribosomal RNA". It matches the Rfam family "Bacterial small subunit ribosomal RNA", at positions 509 to 807 of the family's 1533-position model. The record is from RNAcentral.
CAGCAGCCGCGGUAAUACGUAGGUGGCAAGCGUUAUCCGGAAUUAUUGGGCGUAAAGCGCGCGUAGGCGGUUUCUUAAGUCUGAUGUGAAAGCCCACGGCUCAACCGUGGAGGGUCAUUGGAAACUGGGAAACUUGAGUGCAGAAGAGGAAAGUGGAAUUCCAUGUGUAGCGGUGAAAUGCGCAGAGAUAUGGAGGAACACCAGUGGCGAAGGCGACUUUCUGGUCUGUAACUGACGCUGAUGUGCGAAAGCGUGGGGAUCAAACAGGAUUAGAGACCCCGGUAGUCCCUGUCUCUUAUAC